This 805-nucleotide ribosomal RNA is filed under the name uncultured bacterium. RNAcentral describes it as "bacterial SSU rRNA". It matches the Rfam family "Bacterial small subunit ribosomal RNA", at positions 8 to 916 of the family's 1533-position model. The record is from RNAcentral.
AGAGUUUGAUCCUGGCUCAGGAUGAACGCUGGCGGCGCGCCUAAUACCGCAUGUGGCCAGUUCCUCGCAUGGGGGACUGUCUAAAGGGUCUGAGUAACAUCGGACUCGCUCUGAGAUGGGCUUGCGGCCUAUCAGCUAGUUGGUGGGGUAACGGCCUACCAAGGCGGUGACGGGUAGCUGGUCUGAGAGGAUGGUCAGCCGGAUUGGGACUGAGAUACGGCCCAGACUCCUACGGGGGGCAGCAAUUAGGAAUCUUGCGCAAUGGGGGCAACCCUGACGCAACGACGCCGCGUGAAGGAUGACGGUCUUCGGAUCGUAAACUUCUUUUGUCGGGGAAGAACAGGGCUUCGGCCCUCUGACGGUACCCGACGAAUAAGCCCCGGCUAACUACGUGCCAGCAGCCGCGGUAAUACGUAGGGGGCGAGCGUUGUCCGAAGUUACUGGGCGUAAAGCGCGCGUAGGCGGUCUGUUAAGUCUGGUGUGAAAGGUUCAGGGCUCAACCCGAAGAGUGCACUGGAGACUGGCAGACUUGAGUUGGGGAGAGGAGAGUGGAAUUCCUGGUGUAGCGGUGAAAUGCGUAGAUAUCAGGAGGAACACCGAUGGCGAAGGCAGCUCUCUGGCCCCAAACUGACGCUGAGGUGCGAAAGCGUGGGGAGCGAACGGGAUUAGAUACCCCGGUAGUCCACGCCGUAAACGAUGAGUGCUAGGUGUCAGGGGUAUCGACCCCCCUGGUGCCGCAGCUAACGCAUUAAGCACUCCGCCUGGGGAGUACGGCCGCAAGGUUGAAACUCAAAGGAAUUGACGG